AAAGUCGUAACAAGGUCUCCGUUGGUGAACCAGCGGAGGGAUCAUUACCGAGUUUUCAACUCCCAACCCAUGUGAACCUUACCACGUUGCUUCGGCGGAACGCCCCGGCGCCAACGGCCCGGACCCAGGCGCCCGCCGGGGGACCAAAAACUAGAUCUCCCGAGGAUAUUCUGAGUGGCGCACGCGCAAAUCAAAUUAAAACUUUCAACAACGGAUCUCUUGGCUCCA
RNAcentral lists this unclassified non-coding RNA (228 nucleotides) under Ascomycota sp. Its description in RNAcentral is "partial contains small subunit ribosomal RNA, internal transcribed spacer 1, and 5.8S ribosomal RNA". The stretch from base 1 to 47 matches the Rfam family "Eukaryotic small subunit ribosomal RNA", at positions 1785 to 1831 of the family's 1831-position model. The record is from RNAcentral. Lineage: Eukaryota; Fungi; Ascomycota.